Molecule: long non-coding RNA, 283 nt
Organism: Amphimedon queenslandica
Lineage: Eukaryota; Metazoa; Porifera; Demospongiae; Haplosclerida; Niphatidae
Exons: 2
Source: RefSeq, a predicted model, not a curated record
UUAUUAUUCUCGUACUUUAGGGUAACAGUCGUUAUGAGCCAGCUACUGAUGUGAGGGCUCAGCUAAAAGUCCUGGAGCGUAUUGAUGAAGUGAGUGCCACAAGGAAACAAGAAAGAGAGAAAGAAAAGAUUAUCCGUGCUGCAAAAAGUCGCUCAAAACAAGAUGACCCAGAGCUAGCCAAGAUGAAGGAACAAGCCAAGCAAAUCCAAAUAGCAGAGGAGAGAGAGAUACACCAGAAAGCAGCUAAUGUACAAGCACUGGCUGCUAUUGGAAGGAGAAAGAG